UGGGGUAAAGGCCUACCAAGGCGACGAUCAGUAGCUGGUCUGAGAGGACGACCAGCCACAUUGGGACUGAGACACGGCCCAAACUCCUACGGGAGGCAGCAGUGGGGAAUUUUGGACAAUGGGGGCAACCCUGAUCCAGCCAUGCCGCGUGCGGGAAGAAGGCCUUCGGGUUGUAAACCGCUUUUGUCAGGAACGAAACGGUCUUUAUGAAUAAUAAAGACUAAUGACGGUACCUGAAGAAUAAGCACCGGCUAACUAC
This 259-nucleotide ribosomal RNA is filed under the name uncultured bacterium. RNAcentral's name for it is "partial 16S ribosomal RNA". It matches the Rfam family "Bacterial small subunit ribosomal RNA", at positions 253 to 504 of the family's 1533-position model. The record is from RNAcentral.